UGCCACCACAUCAGUUGUUUAUUACAGAGAACUUCCCUUCCUUUUUUGUUCUGUUUUUCCCAGGAGAUGAGCCCGAUUCAUCCUGACAGAGGUUCUCAGCACAUAUUUGCCCAGGGGCUGCUUACAGAGACGCACUGACAAGUAACACAGUGCGGGAGAAAGGCACCCUGUGCCUGUGCCACAGGGGGUCUAGCGGGCACCAAAAUGGGCUCAGCACAUCAUUCCCAACCCCAUGCCACCUCAGGGAUGGCUGCUGCACGUGGACCUGGCUGGCCAUGGGGCAUGAGGCCUCUGGGCUUUCCCAUGGGUGCUCAGCACCAGCCCUGCUCUCUGAGGAUGCUCUCCCAGCACCAACUUGGUCCCAGCGCUCGUGAGGAUGGGUGUCAAAUCAAUCCCUGCAGCAAGGAUGCCAAGUUAAAAUAAUAAACCCAGAGGAAAGCAGCCAGCCAUCUGCCAGAACUGCAAAUUUCAGCUGGAUUUCCAGAAACACUUCAGCUCUUAAAACCAAGAGAGGAGAGAAAAUAAAACCCCCUCCUCUUCCACGAGCACAGAAAGCACUCACGAUGAGGUGUAAAAUUCCUCUUUGACUUCAAAGGCAUUUCUCCUGGCUGGUUACCCCAAAAUCCUGGCACAACCCAUUGGAAAGCCAUUGGGAGCACAGCUCAGCGCCGCUCUGCUGCCAGAUGACAGCAUCCUGCUGCCCGGGGUGCGGGAUGCUGUGCUGGGGAGUCCCGGGGUGUCAGAGGGAUGCUGAAAACACAAUACUCACCCCUCUGGAAGCAGGGAGGAGGAGGAGGGAUGGGGAUGGGAGAAUACUACUUAUGCUGCAGCAAAGAGAGCUUGUGUGGUUGGCAACAGCACCCUGCUUCUGCCAGAGUGGGUUACAUCCCUCUGCCAAGACCCCACACUGCCAUCCCCAUGGCCAGCAUCAGCAGGAUGCUCACCCAUGAGGCUGGCUGAGACCCUCGGUCCAGCUUAGGCUUUGCUGGGAAAGCUCAGGGCAAACCUUCCCUCCUCAAACACCGGCCAAAAGGCGUUAUUUCUUGUGCUGUUACUGAAACUUUCUGCAAGCAAAGUCAGCCCCAAGCACCCCAGCAUCAGCACCCACCCAGAGCAGUGCAUCCCCCAAGCCCCAUCCUGGCAUGGGUGCAGGCAAUGGCCUGUUACAAACAAGACAAGACUUAGAAAUGUGCUUUCUCAAGCUGCACCAGGUUUCUGCACCC
Molecule: long non-coding RNA, 1223 nt
Filed under: Strigops habroptila (Kakapo)
Lineage: Eukaryota; Metazoa; Chordata; Aves; Psittaciformes; Psittacidae
Description: lncRNA (ENSSHBG00005011023.1)
Source: RNAcentral